UACUCCAAGUGAACCCAAUGGUUUGGUAAAGGCUUAUUUUAAUAGUCAGUUUGAAGUAUUUUUCAAUUAAGUGACAUAGGAAAUUGUUUCUUUUUACAGAUUUUCAAAAGAAUUGCGAGAUUAUAACUGGCAUGAACCUAGCAGUUGAUUGUGUUAUGUAUGAUCAAAAGACAAUUCAAUCUCUGAUUUUUUUUCCUCAUCUUAAGGAACACACUAGAUCAACCAAAGUCUCACAACAACCCUGUGAAGAAGAUGUGAAGUACAGAAAUGAUGUACUUGCCCAGAGACUCCUACAUGGAUAUCAGAGCUAGUACAUGGAUACAACCAUCCCAUUGGUAUCA
Molecule: long non-coding RNA, 341 nt
Filed under: Felis catus (domestic cat)
Lineage: Eukaryota; Metazoa; Chordata; Mammalia; Carnivora; Felidae
Description: lncRNA (ENSFCAG00000051913.1)
Source: RNAcentral